GACGAACGCUGGCGGCGUGCCUAAUACAUGCAAGUUGAGCGCUGAAGGCUGGUACUUGUACGAACUUGAUGAGCAGCGCACGGGUGAGUAACGCGUGGGGCAUCUGCCUUUCAGCGGGGGACCACAUUUGGAAACGAAUGCUAAUACCGCAUAAGAACUUUAAACACAAGGUUUAAGUUUGAAUGAUGCAGUUGCAUCACUCAAUCAUGAUCUCGCGUUGUAUUAGUAGGUUGGUGAGGUACAGGCUCACCAAGGCGGGGAUACAUAGCCGACCUGAGAGGGUGGUUGGCCACAUUGGGAGUGUGACACGGCACAAACGCCCAGGGGAGGCAGCCGUAGGGAAUCUUUGGCCAUGGACGAAAGUCUGACCGAGCAACGCCGCGGCAGUGAAGAAGGUUGUCGGAUCGUAAAACUCUGUUGGUAGGGAAGAACGUUGGUGAGCGUGUAAAGCUCAGCAAGUGACGGUAACUACCCAAAAAGCGACGGCUAACUACGUG
RNAcentral lists this ribosomal RNA (497 nucleotides) under uncultured bacterium. Its description in RNAcentral is "partial 16S ribosomal RNA". It matches the Rfam family "Bacterial small subunit ribosomal RNA", at positions 28 to 507 of the family's 1533-position model. The record is from RNAcentral.